AUUUUAACCAUGCAUGUGCUUCUGGGUGAAUGCAGAUGGACAUCUGAUUUUAGUUCUCCAAAUAGAAAGUGGUUCUUCCUAUCAAAAGGGAGAGUUCAGCUCUUGCAAAGAUGGCGAAUUAACCUUGGCAGUCAGAUGGGAGAGUCAGAGAGCUGCUGCCCCAGCAAGCCAGGCUGUGGGUGAAAAAGCAAGUCCAUAAAGGCCUGAAACAGGAAGCAAGUAUCCCAACUGCAAGGGACAAGAACAGCAUGGAUCACCCAGAAAAGGAGCACUUCUAGGGUUGGCAUGCUGCCCGGCCGCCUUCGAGAGGGUAAACCCACAGGAUAUUCAAGUUUGUUGUAAAGGUCUCAUCUUAGAUUAUGAGUUCAGUUUUCAACAAAACUUUUUGUGAUUGCCUUAGUCUGUUUUGUCCAACAAGACACCUGAGGAUGAGUAAUUUAUAAAGAAAAGAAGUGUAUUUGGUUCUUGAUUCUUGUGGCUGGAAAGUUCAAAAUUGGACAGCUGCAUCUGGUGAGGGUCUCAAGCUGCUUCAACUCAUGGUGGCAAGCAGAAGGGGAGCAGGCAUAGGCGCAAAGAGACUGCAUGGAAAGAGAGGAUGCAAGAGAAACAGGAAGCCAGACUCUUUUUAACAAUCCACUUUUGGGGAAACUAAUCCAUUCCCUGAAGAACUCACUUACCUCUUCAUGGGAGGGCAUUAAUGUUUAUGAGAGAUCUGCCCCUGUGACCCAAAUACCUCCCACUAGGCUCCACCUCCCAUCACGGUGACAUUGGGGAUCAAAUUUCAACAUGAGUUUUGGCAGGUACAGACCAUAUCCAAACCAUAGCAGUGACCUGCAUUAAGUCCAGUGUCAAAGAAACCCUUUAAGGUGUUAUAUGCGGAAAUGUAGACAUGGUUCAUCCGGGAUGAACAAGAAACCUUUUCUCAAAAGAACGAAACCAGAUACGUAGUCUUCUUUACUGAGCUAGGUAAAGCCUGUUUGGUCUGGAUGUGCUACAUGUGAUUCUAGCAGGUGUCAAUAAUCAUAUAUGUUGUCCUGAAUGAAACAGUUAAAUAAUCAUAUUUGGGUUGUGCAGGAUUCAUCAUGAUUUUGUGAGAAAGAAAUGAAUAAAAAAAUUGAGAGCUGAGAUUU
RNAcentral lists this long non-coding RNA (1130 nucleotides) under Callithrix jacchus (white-tufted-ear marmoset). RNAcentral's name for it is "lncRNA (ENSCJAG00000080465.1)". The record is from RNAcentral. Lineage: Eukaryota; Metazoa; Chordata; Mammalia; Primates; Cebidae.